CCUACGGGAGGCAGCAGUGAGGAAUAUUGGUCAAUGGACGAGAGUCUGAACCAGCCAAGUAGCGUGAAGGAUGACUGCCCUAUGGGUUGUAAACUUCUUUUAUAUGGGAAUAAAACGUUCCACGUGUGGGAUUUUGUAUGUACCAUAUGAAUAAGGAUCGGCUAACUCCGUGCCAGCAGCCGCGGUAAUACGGAGGAUCCGAGCGUUAUCCGGAUUUAUUGGGUUUAAAGGGAGCGUAGGUGGAUUGGUAAGUCAGUUGUGAAAGUUUGCGGCUCAACCGUAAAAUUGCAGUUGAAACUGGCAGUCUUGAGGACAGUAGAGGUGGGCGGAAUUCGUGGUGUAGCGGUGAAAUGCUUAGAUAUCACGAAGAACUCCGAUUGCGAAGGCAGUUCACUGGACUGCAACUGACACUGAGGCUCGAAAGUGUGGGUAUCAAACAGGAUUAGAUACCCGAGUAGUC
RNAcentral lists this ribosomal RNA (460 nucleotides) under uncultured bacterium. RNAcentral describes it as "partial 16S ribosomal RNA". It matches the Rfam family "Bacterial small subunit ribosomal RNA", at positions 338 to 795 of the family's 1533-position model. The record is from RNAcentral.